GAUGAACGCUGGCGGCGUGCCUAAUACAUGCAAGUCGAGCGAACAGAUAAGGAGCUUGCUCCUUUGAUGUUAGCGGCGGACGGGUGAGUAACACGUGGGUAACCUACCUAUAAGACUGGAAUAACUCCGGGAAACCGGGGCUAAUGCCGGAUAACAUUUAGAACCGCAUGGUUCUAAAGUGAAAGAUGGUUUUGCUAUCACUUAUAGAUGGACCCGCGCCGUAUUAGCUAGUUGGUAAGGUAACGGCUUACCAAGGCAACGAUACGUAGCCGACCUGAGAGGGUGAUCGGCCACACUGGAACUGAGACACGGUCCAGACUCCUACGGGAGGCAGCAGUAGGGAAUCUUCCGCAAUGGGCGAAAGCCUGACGGAGCAACGCCGCGUGAGUGAUGAAGGUCUUCGGAUCGUAAAACUCUGUUAUUAGGGAAGAACAAAUGUGUAAGUAACUGUGCACGUCUUGACGGUACCUAAUCAGAAAGCCACGGCUAACUACGUG
Molecule: ribosomal RNA, 497 nt
Filed under: uncultured bacterium
Lineage: Bacteria
Description: partial 16S ribosomal RNA
Rfam family: Bacterial small subunit ribosomal RNA
Source: RNAcentral